CACCGCGGUUACACGAGCGGGCCCAAAUUGACAGCCAUCGGCGUAAAGUGUGGCCAGUAAACACACAAAACUAAAGCCAAACACUCUCCAAGCUGUAGUACGCACUUGAGAAGAAGAGGCCCCCCAACGAAAGUAGCUUUAAUUUUUAUGACCCACGUGAGCUAAGACA
This 169-nucleotide ribosomal RNA is filed under the name Fusigobius duospilus (barenape goby). RNAcentral describes it as "partial small subunit ribosomal RNA". Lineage: Eukaryota; Metazoa; Chordata; Actinopteri; Gobiiformes; Gobiidae. The record is from RNAcentral.